RNAcentral lists this ribosomal RNA (253 nucleotides) under uncultured bacterium. RNAcentral's name for it is "partial 16S ribosomal RNA". It matches the Rfam family "Bacterial small subunit ribosomal RNA", at positions 524 to 776 of the family's 1533-position model. The record is from RNAcentral.
GACGUAGGGCGCGAGCGUUGUCCGGAUUUAUUGGGCGUAAAGAGCUCGUAGGCGGCUUGUCGCGUCGACUGUGAAAACCCGCGGCUCAACUGCGGGCCUGCAGCCGAUACGGGCAGGCUAGAGUUCGGUAGGGGAGACUGGAAUUCCUGGUGUAGCGGUGAAAUGCGCAGAUAUCAGGAGGAACACCGGUGGCGAAGGCGGCAUCCUGGACCGACAUUGACGCUGAGGAGCGAAAGCUAGGGGAGCAAACGGG